This is a non-coding RNA of Acanthosepion pharaonis, 107 nucleotides long. The record is from the annotation of a GenBank genome assembly. Lineage: Eukaryota; Metazoa; Mollusca; Cephalopoda; Sepiida; Sepiidae.
UACGUUCGUAUCACGUUGAAACCCCGGUCCCGUACGAUCACCGAAGUUAAGCAACGUCGAGCCUUGUCAGUACCUAGAUGGGGGACCUCUUGGGACUACCAGGUGCU